RNAcentral lists this ribosomal RNA (253 nucleotides) under uncultured bacterium. RNAcentral's name for it is "partial 16S ribosomal RNA". It matches the Rfam family "Bacterial small subunit ribosomal RNA", at positions 524 to 776 of the family's 1533-position model. The record is from RNAcentral.
UACGUAGGGUGCGAGCGUUAAUCGGAAUUAUUGGGCGUAAAGGGUGCGUAGGCGGUUUGGUAAGUCUGAUGUGAAAUCUAUGGGCUCAACUCAUAGUCUGCAUCGGAAACUGCCGGGCUUGAGUGUGGGAGAGGUGAGUGGAAUUCCUGGUGUAGCGGUGAAAUGUGUAGAGAUCGGGAGGAACACCGGUGGCGAAGGCGGGUCUCUGGGCAUCUCCUGACGCUGAGGCGCGAAAGCGUGGGGAGCAAACGGG